GUUGGGCUCCAGGCUCCUGCAGUGAGGCUCCUCCAGUGGUACCCCUAAUCUCUGGGCUUCCGUGAUGUCCUCAGGGACUCUUCCCUGCCUCUUGCUGUUUCUAACCUCUGGCCCCAGUGCCUGGCAGCUCUUCAGAGCUGGCUUAACAUUUUCCAAAAAUAAUAAUAAUAAUACUAAAUAAAACGAAAAAAAAAAAAAAAAGAGUUGACCACCUCAAGGGGUCGCCAAUCCUUAUCACCUGCUGGCCCUGUGGACUUCUUGGGUCCAGAAACCCUGGCCAUUCCUCAGUAAACAGCAAUCUGAAGGGCAGAGGCUGGGAACGGAACCCUGUCACAGGAGUUGGGUCUCCAGCACCUUUAUACACCUUUCCCCCAGGGGCCAGACGGGUUCUGGGCUCUGUCUGGGAUGGGGGCACAGCCCUCUCUCUGAGGCCCCUGUGUGCCUGGUGCUACACUCCCUGCCCUGCCCACAAAGGUUGCACUCCCUAACUGCCAAAUGCAAUAAGCCCCCAUCCCCAUGAUGUGGAAUUGGGGUUCUCAUCUCCCCAGCUAUAUACUUUAUUUUUAAAGAGAUGGUCAAGUCCCUGAAUGUUAGCAUGAGGGAACUGGAACAUGGUGGUAAUUUUCCAGGCCCGAGACACAGUAGCCUUGGGACCGUAGCCUUUGGGGAGACUUGCUAGGAUCUCUUGCCCAGCUAGACUUGGUCUAGCCCUGGGCCUGUGCCUCUCAACUGGUGCAGGCUGCUCUGGUCUUGGGAGCAGUUGAUGGGGAGUCUUCAUGAAGACAUAGAAGACCUGGAACCCAGGGAUGCCCAGUCCCACAUCCCCUCACUGGGGUCUGGGUGAUAACAGGAAGACCAGGCCCAGGUGUGUGAAGCCUUACUGCCUGCCUGUGUGUGACACGCCCAUGGUCCCAGGGUGGGGACAGUAGGCAUCUGAGCGAGAUGAGUGGUGGAGAAUAAACUCAGUUCCACUCCUGGCCCCUGGCCCAGCCUCUUCUUUAUGUGUUGCUGUCCUGAGGAAGGGUGGCAGGUGUCCCAGCAUCCCAGUGCACAAGUCCCAAGAGUAUUUAGGGUAUCCAUAGGACCAGUCUUUCUCCUUCAAGGCUGGGAUUAUACGGGCCCCAUGCUCCAUGUGGGUCUGUUGGUCUGUCACAGAAAGACCUGAAAUUCUGGAGCCUGCAGAAGUGGUAAUCCCCAGGGUAGAGCCCAGGAGAAUCCAGGGUGUCAGUCACAGGAGCCCAGACAGUAGGCCCCUCCCCUUUCAUCCGCCAGCUCAGCCCUUUUGGGCACCUAGGGUUCUCAUAGGUACUUCCUGCUGCUCAUGUUCUGUUUGGUGGCAUUCUGGGCCCUGGGGACAUAGGUGGAAGAUCUCUACGGUGUGAUCUAUCACCCUGCCCAUAGGUGCCCAGUGCCUCAGACAGAUCCAGAGGCCCGGUGCGGGAUGUUGUGGGUGAGGUGGCUGCCUGUGGAGAUUCGGACGUGAUCGCCACCUCCUGUUUCAGAAGACUCGUUGUAUUCACACCCUCAAAAACAAGAUGGGAUAGAACAUACCUGUAACACCAGCAUUUGGGAGGCAAGAGGAUUAGGAGUUAAAAGCCACCCAUUGCCACAUAGUUCCAGGACAGCCUGCCAUUUGGAAUUGACACCCAGUCUCACAAAGGCCUAAGGAAAGGACUUCUUGGGAGGAUCCUGUUGUUUUCUCUCACCUCUGCGCUCCUGUCCUUUGCUUCAGUGCUGCUGCUUUCAAACAGGGCCCCGGGUAAUAAAUAGGCUGUGGGCGGCAGAGAGAAAUCAGGCAUCUAGAACAUUUCCAGCCCCUUAGGUUCUGCUGACUGGCCUGGUUGGGAAGGCCACGCCUCAUCUGUGCACGCCUGGUUCUGAGGCCUGCUGGAUACAAGGAGAAUGAGACAUGGGCUGUAGCCUAGCAAUGCUCUGCGGCCCUCCCUUGCUGUGACACGGCUGUUCGCUGUGUUUGGUAGAGUAACUCAGGUGAAGCUGGAUCCCACUGCUAUGACAAGCCAUCCCUGCUUCAAUGACAUCACCUGUGACCCUGUGAGGUCUGUGGGAGAGGCUUUGGUGGCCCAGAAUGACAGAUUGCUUUAAUCUGUGGCACAACCAUAUUGACUUGGGUCUCCAGAGCUAAGGUUGGAACUGCAUACCACCAUUCAAAAGUGACAUGUUUCCACGCCAUUAGUCCAUUAGUACCAUGGCCAAGCCCUACUUCAAGGUGAUGUGGAAAAGGAACCAUAGAGAGUUCUAGAAAUAGAGUGGACAACUAUACCCUCUCCUGCACCUUGGUGCUGAGUCUCCUGAUGCCAGGUUGCCAGGCAGUCUACUGGGCUGAGGGUAUGCCUGAAAUCCCAGGUAGAUGAGAACUGAGACAGGAGGAUUGAUUAAGCCCAGGAGUUUGAGGCCAGUCUACAAUGUAGACCUUGUCUCAAAAUAAAUACAACUUUU
RNAcentral lists this long non-coding RNA (2457 nucleotides) under Mus musculus (house mouse). RNAcentral describes it as "long non-coding RNA chr9:121769277-121771734". The record is from RNAcentral. Lineage: Eukaryota; Metazoa; Chordata; Mammalia; Rodentia; Muridae.